GAAAAAUAGUGGUUGUGAUGAGGUUUAAGAAAAGUACAUCUAGUUUCCCUUUCUUUUUUCUCUAGCGUUUUUUCCAGCAGAUGGACAAUUGCACAAAUCUGAAAACGAAAAAGAAGGAACUGCAUCCCUACAGCCGGUGGCAUCACAAGUGAAGCCUUAGUGGAGCAAGCUCUCACUUGAAUAUUAUGAAGGCUUUCGAACCAGACCAUUGCUGCUAGCCCCACCAAAAGAACUGCUGUCUGGCCAAGAGGAGCUGGGAGCUCUGUUAAUGCAGCUGUACUUGAGAAGGAGCCUGCAUGCCCAGGAGGAUGGGUGCUCUCCUGUCCUGCUUUUCCACCUGCAACAAUUUGCUUAGAUCAUGUAGGAUGACAGAGGUGGGGAAGAGACCAGAACAGAAUCUCAGAGCAGCCUUUGGACACCAGCUGCCACCCGUGAGCACCAUCUAGCUGGCUCCUAGCACAACAGCAUGGGAAGCUGAGCAAGUGCAACUCCUGAAGCUCAACAAAACAAGCUUUCCGUGCUAUAGCUUGGGGAUGUAAGAUAUGUAAGUACUGCAAAGCAUCCAGGAGCCUGAUAUUCCUAUAAGCCAUUUGUCAUAAAAGCACAUCUGGUUGUUUCACAGCGCACUGAUGUAGCAAAAGUAUCUUCCUCAAUGGGAUAUCUACAAGAAGCAAGUGUCCCAGUCUAAGAAUCUGGUUUUUUAAAACCUUUGUACUCUACAAAUAUCAAUCGUAUUACAUCCUAUUUCUUUUCAGCUGAUCAAUUCUCUGUAAACAUAGUGCUGUGCUGAGGGAGAAGUACUGAACUGAAGCAUGAAAACCCCCUUUUGCCUGG
RNAcentral lists this long non-coding RNA (834 nucleotides) under Numida meleagris (helmeted guineafowl). RNAcentral describes it as "lncRNA (ENSNMEG00000004473.1)". Lineage: Eukaryota; Metazoa; Chordata; Aves; Galliformes; Numididae. The record is from RNAcentral.